RNAcentral lists this ribosomal RNA (254 nucleotides) under uncultured bacterium. Its description in RNAcentral is "partial 16S ribosomal RNA". It matches the Rfam family "Bacterial small subunit ribosomal RNA", at positions 524 to 777 of the family's 1533-position model. The record is from RNAcentral.
UACGAAGGGGGCUAGCGUUGCUCGGAAUUACUGGGCGUAAAGCGCACGUAGGCGGUCUUUUAAGUCGGGGGUGAAAUCCUGGAGCUCAACUCCAGAACUGCCUUCGAUACUGGAAGACUCGAGUCCGGGAGAGGUGAGUGGAACUGCGAGUGUAGAGGUGAAAUUCGUAGAUAUUCGCAAGAACACCAGUGGCGAAGGCGGCUCACUGGCCCGGUACUGACGCUGAGGUGCGAAAGCGUGGGGAGCAAACAGGG